AAAGUUGUUGCGGUUAAAAAGCUCGUAGUCGGAGGUGUGUCUCGGACGGUCGGUUCGCCGCUUGCCGGUGCUCAACUGGCCGGUCCGGACGUCCUGCCGGUGGGGCCGCGAGGCUCCGUUAUCCUUCUUUGGUCCUCUUCACCGAGUGCCUUGGUGGGCCGGCACGUUUACUUUGAACAAAUUAGAGUGCUCAAAGCAGGCCGUUGGUCGCCUGAAUACUGUGUGCAUGGAAUAAUGGAAUAGGACCUCGGUUCCAUUUUGUUGGUUUUCAGAACUCGAGGUAAUGAUUAAUAGGGACGGACGGGGGCAUUCGUAUUGCGACGUUAGAGGUGAAAUUCUUGGAUCGUCGCAAGACGAACCGAUGCGAAAGCAUUUGCCAAGAACGUUUUCGUUGAUCAAGAACGAAAGUUAGAGGUUCGAAGGCGAUCAGAUACCGCCCUAGUUCUAACCAUAAACGAUGCCAGCUAGCCAUCCGCCGAAGUUCCUUCUAUGACUCGGCGGGCAGCUUCCGGGAAACCAAAGCUCUUGGNUUCCGGNNGAAGUAUGGUUGCAAAGCUCANACUUAAAGGAAUU
This 573-nucleotide ribosomal RNA is filed under the name Diphlebia coerulescens (rockmaster damselfly). RNAcentral's name for it is "SSU rRNA". It matches the Rfam family "Eukaryotic small subunit ribosomal RNA", at positions 606 to 1154 of the family's 1831-position model. Lineage: Eukaryota; Metazoa; Arthropoda; Insecta; Odonata; Diphlebiidae. The record is from RNAcentral.